RNAcentral lists this ribosomal RNA (698 nucleotides) under Klebsiella pneumoniae. Its description in RNAcentral is "partial 23S ribosomal RNA". It matches the Rfam family "Bacterial large subunit ribosomal RNA", at positions 2104 to 2801 of the family's 2925-position model. The record is from RNAcentral. Lineage: Bacteria; Pseudomonadati; Pseudomonadota; Gammaproteobacteria; Enterobacterales; Enterobacteriaceae.
CUAUAGCUUGACACUGAACAUUGAGCCUUGAUGUGUAGGAUAGGUGGGAGGCUUUGAAGCGUGGACGCCAGUCUGCGUGGAGCCAACCUUGAAAUACCACCCUUUAAUGUUUGAUGUUCUAACGUUGGCCCCUGACCGGGGUUGCGGACAGUGUCUGGUGGGUAGUUUGACUGGGGCGGUCUCCUCCCAAAGCGUAACGGAGGAGCACGAAGGUUAGCUAAUCCUGGUCGGACAUCAGGAGGUUAGUGCAAUGGCAUAAGCUAGCUUGACUGCGAGCGUGACGGCGCGAGCAGGUGCGAAAGCAGGUCAUAGUGAUCCGGUGGUUCUGAAUGGAAGGGCCAUCGCUCAACGGAUAAAAGGUACUCCGGGGAUAACAGGCUGAUACCGCCCAAGAGUUCAUAUCGACGGCGGUGUUUGGCACCUCGAUGUCGGCUCAUCACAUCCUGGGGCUGAAGUAGGUCCCAAGGGUAUGGCUGUUCGCCAUUUAAAGUGGUACGCGAGCUGGGUUUAGAACGUCGUGAGACAGUUCGGUCCCUAUCUGCCGUGGGCGCUGGAGAAUUGAGGGGGGCUGCUCCUAGUACGAGAGGACCGGAGUGGACGCAUCACUGGUGUUCGGGUUGUCAUGCCAAUGGCACUGCCCGGUAGCUAAAUGCGGAAGAGAUAAGUGCUGAAAGCAUCUAAGCACGAAACUUGCCCCG